GAACAUCUGAAGGGCUAUCUAUCAAGGGAGCUCAACGGAAAAGCUUAUCUCGACGCCAUGAGGGUUCAGAACAACGAAACCUAGAAGUGCCGAGUUCUAUCCAUUGAGUAUGGAUGUGAAAAUGGUGAUACGUGGAAUGGUGAUGCAACCUGAUUAUAUGAUAUCGGUUUGAUAUUUAGGGAGGUCCUUUUUGAGAAAGACAAUAAUGACUUGAAAAAACUUCUUGUGAUUCUCAUCUAUUGCUUGUCUGAACUAUCAAACAGUCUUGUAAAAUCCAAGGCAUUGAUUUUUUGCUCCGCCCUUCUGUUUUUUUUUCAUUUUAGUAGAGCGAUGAAUGUUCAUCCUCCUGAUCCCCAGCUAGCGCCAAACCGAAAUUCAUGAGACUAUCGCUUGCAUCUUACCUUAUUGGAUUUAUAUGGUGUACGGGUAUUUUUUCAGUUUGGACUAACUUAUUUGAGGGGGUUUCCUUGUCAUUGAAAGACUAAAGAAGAUAGUAAUAGACUAGACCAAAUUUGAAACUCAAAACAGCUAUGACGAGUGCGACCUGACAAGUGGCGGACUGCAAAGACCUCGUGUGGCAAAACUAUUGGGUUUUACAAUUACCCUACUUUUUCUACAAGUAAGCCCCCUUGAUAAAUAAACAAUAGAUUCUUUAAAUUAAUGAAUUACAAAUAUCAUGCGAGCCAGACUCGUAUCAGAAAAUUGUCCACAUUUAAUGGCGUGGAAAAUUAAAGUAAUGUCAUCGAUCAAAAAAAAAAAAAAACUAAAGUAAUGUCAUGCAAGUUAAAGUAUACAUUUAUUUAUUAAUCAUUAAGGAAACCCACCAGGAUCACAAUUCUACCUAUAUGCUCUCCUUUGCCAAAUCAUUUUCUUUUCAAAAGGGCAAGAUUUAGCUGCAGCAAGGUUGCAGCGUUAACGUUGCUACCAAACACAUGGUGUAUGUUCGCAUAACCUUUAAAUUAUCCGCAAGCAGAUCGAACCUUAGUAAUCCACUCUAUCAAAAAAUCUGUAAUCUUUGUUCUACUCACCCCAGUCACUCUCUUCUCUGCCUACUGUCUGUCGCGGCCGCCGUCCGCCACGCCAGUCUUGGCCCCCCUGAGCUCCACUUCAUCGCCAAGAUCAUCUCUAUUGGCGUUGCUGAUGAAGGCUCUCCACUGUCUCACGACCCUCUCUCCCGUGCACAAGGGCAGCAUCUCACCGUAGGUAGCUUCGUACAUGGUGAAGCAACAGCGAUUUCACCGUCUUUUGUCAACGAAUUUGUGGCUAGGAGAUAGGGAGGGUUUCUUGAGAAGGUGUUUGUUGACACUUUUGGUGACUCAAUUGGUUAUUAACUGCAUAAAAAAGUUAGGGAUCAAUCCCGACCCCCAAACAAAAUUUUUAGUUAAAACUACACAUAAAUUUUAAAAGCAUUGAUAGUAAUAAGCCCACCUAAUUGCAUUUCCAUUGGACCAGCGAUGGAUUGAUUUGAAUAGAAGAUUUCGAGCAUAAUUGGAUUGAUUGGACUAAGCUGGUACAAAUUAAAAUUUUGGCCAAGUUCAUUAAUAAUUUAAUAUGGCCAACAUUUUGCGUAUGAUAUGCAAGGAGGUUGUAGGUCGGCAUAUAUUGAAACCUAGGACCUUAAUAUCCUAAACUACAACAUCUGAAUUCUGGUGGGACGUAAAAUUUGGGGUAUUACACUGGGAGGGAAAAAAGUUUCUCUAAUUAGGCUGAAGCGUUUGGGUAUCGACACGUUAAAAUUAGGUCGAGGCGUGUGGGUAUCGACAUGUUAAAAUAAGGAACAUCAUUUUAUCAGCCCAUCUACUGACAUGUGGGGCAUCUACUGACAUGUGGGGCGACCCUUAGUGAAGUUUUGGAGCUCCUACGUUGUGGGGAGUUUCCGAGCUCCUACGUUGUGGUGAGGUACGCAUUAACCACCAAAGAUCCACAACUCGAGAAGAGGCUCAACAUACGUGGUUCAAGAUUGAGAGCAAAGGGUCUUCACGUUCUCCACACGCAAAAAAGCCAGAGGAGAAAAACAAAAGAAAAGAGAGGGAAAGAAAGACCCACUUCCGUUGCUGCAACAUCCACGAUUCGCACAGAGAGAACAAGUAACAACAGUGAUAUUCUUGCAGUUCUCGGACGUGUCUUGCAUCUUCACAUCCGCACACCUCGUCGCUCCAUACGCCAGACCGGCAAGUCUCCGAGCAUUCCUUAGCAACGCUGGCGGCAAGCCUCAACGCACCAGUGAUCGUUGACCCACCUGCACCUACUGGCCACGUCAGUGUCCUGUGUCCUCGCCGGUCACGCCCAGUAGCUGUUCCCUCUCAACUCCAGUCCACGACCUGCGAUACUCAACAUAAAUUGGCAAAGUAAAUAUUCUUACAAUUAUUAUUAUUAUUAUUAUUAUUAUUAUUAUUAUUAUUAUUAUUAUUAUUAUUAUUUACAUCAUUACUACUGUCAAUAGUACAUGUUGUUCCAAAAAUGUUAACCAGAACUUAGAGGUUAGCAGAAAUCCAAAUGAAUUAAUAAAUUCACAAAAUAACUAUAAGACUUCCUCUGAGUGUUAUAUAUGGAUCACCAAAAAUGUCUCAACAAUGCAUACUCAAUACAAAAUAUGUAAUCAAUUUAAUUAUGCAAUAAAAUACUAUUUAAUAAUUAUAUCAAAAGCUAUGCAUGAAAAAUUCAAUCAUUGCAAAAGAGACAUUAUAAUCUUUAACCCAUAAAUUUGUGACUAUUAUAAAUUGUAAACCUCUUUGGUUGUUUCAAACAUAAGUGUGAAACUAAUAAAUUCAGGAAUAAAAUCACGACAAUUUUGACAAGAAAAAUGUUUGGACUAAAACUUUAGUAGUCAUAAAUAUAAUGCCAACAAUGUUUUACACAUGUAAAACUCAAAGUAGACUUUAACUCUUUUAAGCAACAUUUAAAUGACUAAAAUGUGAAAUAUAAAUAUAUCACAAAAGGCAGGAUGCAAAAGGCAUACUCACUAAAUUGUUGAUUGCGCUAAUUUAGUCAUAAAAGUAAUUAAUGACAAAUAUUGGGGUGCAUCAUUAGUCAAUUGAAUAGUUGUCGCCCAAUUAUUCUCUCAACUUGUACUUGCUAAAUUGGGUCUCCAUUCCCCUUCCAUCAAGCAUAAUUCCACAUCGUCAAGAAGGCAAGAAUCUACCACAAUUCUAAUACUAGAGAAGUUCUAUAUGUGCUUGAACAAGAGAGAAUUAUCAUAUCUUCAUGUAUUUAUCAAACAUACACAUUGUCAUGCAGCAAAUACCAACACAUGUAUGAGCAUAUACAUAGAUAGAGGCCCAUGCUGCACUCCCAAGCAAGCAUGAAUAAAGAUAUGCCACCAAAUACCAACACAAGCUCGUGUCUACACUUACUUAAGCAUAUUGGCAUGGACAUCACCAAUCGACUAAUGAUUGUAUGCACUCUAGCAUAUUCCCAAGAAUGAUGGGACAACACUAUGAGGAAUACUAGAGAAUUUUGUUCCAAAGUCAAAUGACACCUAUUUUCAAAAUUUAUAAGCAUAAUAAUGUAAGGUAAAAAGAGCGUAAUUCUAGUGGUAAAACAUAGAAAUCCCACAUGACAGCAUCCAUUGUUUCGCUGAAAAUACUUAUAUAUAACCUAGUCCGACAUGGGCAAGCUCGAUAAGAUUUUGUAGAGGUGGAGGCAAAGACAAGUUAAAUAGCAAAUAAAAACAGUUAUAAACUGGCUUCAUAAAUGUACAUUAAACAAAUUUUAGCAUGAGAAUAGGAAGAAUUAAGGACAAAUAGAAACUAUUUUGAGUAAUAGCGAAGUGCCCCAAUUUCCAAUCCUAAAUGGAUGAUUAUUAAAAUAAUCACGAACUUGAGAGAGAAAACGCCUACACACAUCCAACUUUCUAUUGGAAAAAAAAGUAUAGGUAUUGAAGUCCCAAAAUAAAAAUAAAUAUAUAAAAGAAAUAUUAGCCCAAUUUCUUUCCAUUUCUUUUAUGGUUUUCCUUUUCUAUUUCUUUCUAAGUAGCCACAUGGAAUCACUAUGCCAUUUUUAAAGAUUUUCUAAAUAGGUAAUUUUGAAAAUCUGUAAGCCUCUUCCGUAAAAGUAUAAGAGCACACAUUCAUGGAAUAUGUCUAACAAGAUCAAAUCAAAUCUAAAGAGAACACACAAGCUCGUGACGCCAAAUUUCAAAUGUUAGAAUGAAAGGAUCUCGACCUAUGUGAUGAUGAUUUCUCAAAAUGUGGAAACAACGCGCCAAAAUGGCAAUUACGCCCUUCAAGCAUUAAUUUAGAGUUUCCAAAAAACAACUUUACUUGAAACUCAAUGACCUUACCAGAACAACCAAAAGCUAUUUUGUGUUAAUGCUUGAUACCGUCCCAUGAUGAACCACCCAAGAAUAUGUGAUUCUUGCCCUUCACCAUCUUCAAAUCCUUGUUCAAUUCCAAGGUCGGUGGAAGCACCAUCAAUUCCAAUUUUGAAAGCUAUAAGGCAAUUAUCCUUAAGAUCGUUGGAAAAAGUAUUAGAAUACAUAAAAUAAUAAUAAUUAUUGGAAAUACAUUACAAAAGAUUAGAAAAUAAAAGAAAUGUAUGAGGCAUGCAAACACUAUCCUUAAGGAUAAUUCCAUCCCUCGAAGUAAGAAACUCGGUUCGUAAGGCUUCAACGGCUAUCCUCCCAAGAUACAACAGACCUUCCUCUAUACUCCGCACUGAAUAUUAGAAUGAAAUAAAACAACUUUUAUGUAUAACCCCACAAAAAGAAAAGGAAAGAUAUGAGAACACGUUGUAUCUACAAGGAUUGUGGUUUGAAGUUUAAUUUAUAUCGAAACAAGAAAAAGAGAGAGUCGUUAGGAGAUUGUCAUAAAUCAAUUGGUAAUUAAAAAGAUGACCGUUAUAAAAUAAUGAAGAGUUUAUGAAGUAAUAAAUCAAAAGUUGUAAAGAUGUUAGACGACCGUUAUACAACCAUUAGAAAGUCGUUAUAUGACCGUUAAAAAGCCGUUACAAAAAUGAUGACUUUCAUGACGAUCAUAAUUUCUGAUAAAUAUUUCAAAACUACUAAAAUAUCUAACAUGCAGAAGAGAACUAAUAAACCCUAGACAACAAUCAAACACAGGGAUAGUAAAAGUAGGACAACCAAUUAUUACAAACCACACUUUAUAAACAAACCGAGUUAGUCCUACAAGCUAAUGUACAAAAGGUCUAUCUCAAAAAAAGAGACUACUAAGCCACCUACUCUCUAGACCUUUCAGCCUCUGGCUUCGAAUCCUCCAUGACACCAUCCAGGAUGUUGAUGUCCAUGGGGUCAGCCACCUCCCUAUUCUCGGUUUCGACAGUAGGUCCGUCAAAAACCUACAAAGGACUCUUCUGGGCCCCGUUAAUCGCAUUAAGGAACCAUGCCUUGAAGCAAUGAGGUACCAAGUGAAGGAGGCCCUCAUUGACCCAAACCGUGGUCAUCACUAACUCACGAGUCAAAGCGGUCCCAAUAAUAGGGAAAAAAGUGGACUCAUAGUCCAUAUCCAAUGGAACCCCAAAACGGACCGGUCGCCUCUCCAUACUAAGGAUGUGAAAAUAUUUAACUACAAUGGGGUGAGAUAAAAUCUCAGUGAGUCAAAAUCCAAAACUUCGAUAAGGACGCAAAUCCAUCUAGAUGUAGCCAAAAUAGGCAUCACACAAGACUUACCUCACCUCAGCACGUUUUUGCACAUUAGUACAUCACAUAUAUAUUUAUCGACGCAAAAGGCGUAAUCAAUAACUGGAAUACAUCAUUUUCAUAUAUCAAUCAAUCAUAGGGGUUCCGAUUAUAAGGUAAAAUCGUCAUGACAUGUCUCAUUCCAUGCCACAUAAUUUUAUCUCAUAAUAAGGCGCAGCUAUCUCAAUCACUCAAGCAUAUCCCAAUUAUUAUGACCCAUCGACCACAGCCAACUCAACAGUUGGCAGUCAUCCGACAUAACCGGGUGUUGUCCCACUCCGCCAGGCACAGCAACGUCUACACCUAUACAGUAUUCCAUAAAGGACCAUUAGCCUAGCCUCCACUACGACCGGCAUCUGUUGAUGUGGGGCAUCCUGAGAUAGCUAGUAUAAGUACCUAGAGGGGGGUGAAUAGGUGUAAAAAUAAUUUCUCGAGAUAAGAGAGCAAUACUAAGCAGACAAUAGAAAGGAAGUUCUCCUUUGGUUAACAAAAUGAAUUAUGAUCAAAGUAAAACAGAGAGUAGGGAAGAGAAAAUUGAACACAAGUUUUACAGUGGUUCGGCUUAUUCUAAGCCUACGUCCACUCUUCCGCACUGAUAGCCCACCGGCUGGAUUUCACUAUGAACAAAAGAGAUGUUACAGGGGCGCCAUAUUCUAGGAGCCCAAACUAUGUGAUUGAAUAAGUCCUCCUCUAUCUGUUGCGGGUCGAAGACUUCAACAGUGUAGAUAUUCUACUACACUUCCUCAAGGUUUCUCACGAAUAUAGACUCUCUUUUGCGUACAAGAUUUCGCUUAGCAAAGGAAUUGACUAAGAACAAGGAGCUUCAGACUUUGAAAUUCUUCUAUCGCGCACCCUCUCGAACAACUGGAACGUCUUUCUUAUAUACUUUAUGCCAUCAUACCCGUUGGCACUUACCAAAGGAAUUCCUCCAAUCUACCCGUUGGACGGAAUCAAUUAGAAAGAUCAUUCGAGCUAUUAAAGGAACAUGUCGAUAGCCCAUUAAUCCUGCUCGCCUAUACAAUCAGGAUCUCGGUUUCCAUAAGUAGAACCUUCCAAAUAUACUUCGCCAAUCAUUGAAUCCUUAAUCAAUCUUGAUUCGAAUAAAGGAAUCUGUUAUGUCAUAUCCAGCCAAGAGAUCUUCUCCAGUCGAUAAGGUCAAAUCCUUAAUGAAACACCCAAUUCUGGAUAGUCCUUUUUCAACGGAUUAGAAACUGUCAAUGAUAAUAGACUUUGAGUCUUGAGUUUGGUAGUCCGAAGGUCUUCAGACUUUAAAUAGCAGAGUCUGCAAAUCUUCAGACUAGACUAAUGGAAACGUUUUGUCAGCUUCAAAAUACUCCAGGAAGAUUUCUCCAGCAAUCUCCCCCUUUUUGAUGGUGACAAAACUUUCCUGCAGAUUUGGAUAACUUUGACCUGCAAAACAUUACUCAAGCAAAUAUGGAUAUCUCAUAAAGAUAAAUGGCUUAAUGAUGACACUAGAAUCUGCAACCACAGAAAAUAGGUUAGUCUUUCAUGUGAGUAAAGCCAUUCAUAAGAUAUCAAUAGCACUUAAUAUAAGCAGUCAAACCCAAAUCCAAAUUCAGUUCACAUCCAGACACAAAAGUCAAGUCAAACAAAACAAACAUCAAAAUAAAUCAAAAGUUCAAGUUCAAAGUUUUCAAAUCUUGCAUCUCUCCCCCUUUUUGUCAUCAUAAAAAAACGGUUGAGAUGGAAAGAGAAUGGAUUCAGGAAUGCUUGGGAACACGAACAAGCUGAAAAUCUCCCAUUGACUGGACAAUGCCUUCUAGCUUUUUCAACUCUUCCUUCAGUUGAGCGACCUCUUCACCCUUAGCAUUUGCUUGAAUCUGAAGAGAAAGGGCUUGGAUCUGAUCAUUCAAAGAAACUAAAGAAGCUUGACUUGUAUUCUGCAAAUUCUGAACUUCGCAUCUCAGAGCAUAUAUCUGACCCCGCAUUUCUAAGAGAACAUCAAGAAUUCUGCGAAAAUCUGCUGAAUUAUCAGUCUGCGUACUGGCUUCUGCACGAUCAGAUGGAGUAAAGGCAAACGAUGGCAAAUCAGCAUAGUCACGCAGAUUGGGCGAUGAAACAUCAUGUCCCUCCUCAGGAAAGUGAGAGGCGUAUAUGUCAUCUGAAUCUGCUGGAGAGCGACUGACUCCCUCACUGGUAGCAGGAUAUGAGGACAUUCCUCUUUUCUCAAGGUCUCCCCCUGUUUCCAUGCCUCCAAGUGGAGAAGAGUGUUCCUCAUGCUCUCCUUCUUCUUGAUUUCCUCUUUCCUCCUCUGCAUCUCUUUCUUCAGCUUCUCUCUCCUUUGUUUCUUUCUCCUCUGCUUCUUUCUCUUCAUCUUCUCUUUCUCCAGUCCUUUGUUCUGAGUCUUUCUCUUGCUGUUUCGUUGAUUCUGGAACAGAACGACUCAGGUUCUUCAAUGCCAUUGCAAAAAUGGUGAUGUCUUCCUCAUCAUCUUCAUCCUCAACGAUGAGAGCUCUUCUUUUCUUGGAUGGAGCAACCAUGGGCUCCUUCCCUUUUCUCUUUGCAGCUGAAGAGGUUUGAUGAGUUUUGAUAAAGGUUUUCUCCUUGAAUUUCUCCAACGCCUUGUUGAGUUCAUUUAGUCACCAUUUUCAGUCCCACCACCAUUUGAUCACAAGAUCGAGUACAGAAAAUUCAUAGAGGCUGAAUAUUCAGAUGUCUAAAUAACUUUGUCACAAGAGCUGGAUAAGGAAGUUGACCAUUGUCCUUCACCACUGCUCUAUACAUGUGGAGCAUAAUAGUGUGAGGAAGAGAAAACUUUUUCCCAGCAAUGAUGGCAUACAUCAGCUUUGCCUCUGAGUUUGAAACAUUAGUCUUUGAAGUAGAUUUUGGUCUGAGGCAAUUAAUGACAAUCUUGUGAAGCAGAAUGUUAACUGCACUCAUCCUCAAGUAGGAAAUCUUUUCCUCUAUUCUUCUAUCCUUAACAAGUUCCAACGUAGCACGAGCAAUAGAGACAUUGAUAGGUUGAUAUCUCCCUCUCUCAACCCCAAUGACAUCAGCCAACAUAUCUACAUCCACCACAAAGUCUUGAUCUCGGACACUAAAAGAGAAUCUAUUCGCAUCCAAGAAAUUGAUAUUCGAAUAGAAAUAUGCAGUGAAUUCAGCAUAGGCUUUUGUAGAAUCAAAACAAAACUGCUCAAGUUGAAGAAGACUGAAUUUUUCCCUCAAAUUGACAUUCACAGCAUCAAGGAAAUCAAAAUCCACACUUUUAGGGUUUAUCACCCCACGCUUCAACAACUUAGAGUAUAAAAGCUUUUGUUCCUCCGAUCGAAACAAGUUUGUCCUUUUUCCCUGAAUUUUUGCCGCAACACCCAUUCUCGGUUGAAACUGACUGUACAUCUUAUCAUCAUCAUUCCCAUUUGGCUGAUUCAGCCCUCCAACACGCGAAUCACUUGGGAUAUUAGCAAGGGUUUCUUCUGCCAACCCCGCAUGGGCAAUUCCCAAACGCUCCAUAUUUCGUAAAAAGAUGUACUCAUUUUCAUACCCUUUGUCCUUAAGAAACUCAUCGAUGUAGUUCAAUGGAGUUCCACCUCUUUUCAAAGCACGAUAAAGCUUGUAAAUAAAAGAGGGCUUUUGAAUUCUUACAGGAUCUGCACCUUCGAUGAUUUCUUCAUUUUCUCGAUGAACAUCAUCAUGUGGACUAGAUGGAGGAGAAUGACGCUGCUGAGAAUGUUGUGGGCUCUGCUGCUGACUGGGAGACUCUUCUUCCUCGGUGAGAUCAAAGUGCGUAGGCCCCUCACGCAUUUGCGGUCCCCUGCUUGCAAUCCUCGAAGACUUCCUUUGAGACGACAUCUUUCACAGUCUUUGAAAGAUUCCAAGCUUGACUUUCCCAAGAAAGAUGACAACUUUUUCGAAGAUUAAACAAGAGAAGAAAACAGGAGUGGAAGAUCGAUGCUUUUUAGGGUUUUUGGAGUAAAACGGAGAAGAAACAACAAUAUAUAAGAUAGUCGAAGAGAGACAUACGAAGCGUCGUAAUGGAAAGUAAAAAGAUGCCCUUUAAAAAUAACUGCCUUUUUUAAAAAUGAAUAGAUAACUGCCAUUUUAAAAAUUAACUCCUUUUUGAAAAAGAAAGAUUGCACUUAUCACGGACAUUUGAAAGUAGCAAAAAUCAAUUAUAGAUAGAUGAUUGUACCUUUCCGAGAUUUAAUAUGAGAGAGAAUAAUUUACAGUCAAAAUCUUGUUUGUCUGAGUCUGAGAGUCUCUAGACUUUAACUUCUUCAAACCUCAAAAUGUUGAGUCUGGAACGGAUGAUUUCAAAUUGAUUUUUCUCCAAAGGCUUUGUGAAUAUAUUCGCCAGUUGGUUCUUUGAGUCAACAAACUGAAUCGAAACUUCUCCAUUUUGAACAUGAUCUCUAAUGAAGUGAUGUCGAAUCUCUAUAUGCUUUGCUCUUGAGUGAAGAAUUGGAUUUUUGGUGAGAUUGAUUGCGCUGGUGUUGUCACAGUUAAUCUCCAUGCAUGAAUCUUCAAUUCCAAAGUCUCUUAGUUAUUGUUUUAUCCACAGAAUUUGUGAACAACAACUUCCAAGAGCUACAUACUCUGCUUCUGUAUUUUGCUUCCUUGAAAACCAUGACAUUGUCCUGCUUCCAAGUAGUUGACAGGUACCCGAGGUGCUAUUUCUAUCAACUCUACAACCAGCUAGAUCUGCGUCUGAGUAUCCAAUAAGAGUAAAGUCUCCCUUUUUAGGAUACCAAAGACCAAGACUUGAAUUUGAAGCAAUGUAUUUGAUAAUACGCUUUGCAGCACUUAGAUGAGAUUCUUUAGGGUUUGCUUGAAAUCUAGCACAAAUGAAAACACUAAACAAAAUGUCAGGUCUAGAAGCAGUAAGAUAAAGAAGUGAACCAAUGAUACUCCUGUAUAACUUCUGGUCAACUUUCUUUCCUCCUUCAUCUUUGUCUAUCUUCAAAGAACUUGAGAUUGGUAUGUCAAUCUUUUUGCAAUUUUCCAGUCCAAACUUUUUGACAAGAUCAUUAGCAUAUUUUUCUUGAUGAAUAAAAGUCCCUUCCUUCAAUUGUUUCACUUGAAGUCCAAGAAAGAAGGUUAGUUCACCCAUCAUGCUCAUUUCAAAUUCAUCCUGCAUAGACUUAGAGAAUUUCUUGCACAAACUUUCAUUAGAGGAUCCAAAAAUAAUAUCAUCUACAUAUAUUUGAACAAGUAGAAAACUUUUGUUUUCUCUUUUAAUAAAUAGAGGAAUGUCUACUUUACCUUUAACAAAGCCAUUUUGAAUUAAAAACUUACUCAGCCUAUCAUACCAAGCUCGAGGUGCUUGCUUUAAACCAUAUAAGGCAUUUUUCAGUCUGAAUACUGAGUUUGGUUUCCUUGGGUCUUCAAACCUAGGUGGUUGUUCCACAUAGACUUCCUCAUGGAUAAAUCCAUUCAGGAAAGCACUUUUGACGUCCAUUUAGAAUAACCUGAAAUUCUUAUAACAAGCAAAAGCAAGUAAUAAUUGAAUUGCUUCUAACCUUGCUACUGGUGCGUAAGUCUCGUCAUAGUCUAUCCCUUCUUCUUGCGUAUAUCCCUUGACCACGAGUCUUGCUUUGUUUCUUACGACCUUUCAUUUCUCGUCCAUCUUGUUCCUGAAAACCCAUUUAGCUCCAAUAAUAGAUUUACCUUUUGGUUUAGGAGUCAACUCCCAGACAUCAUUAAUGCUGAAUUGCCUGAGUUCUUCUUGUAUAGCUUCAAUCCAGCUUUCAUCAGAUAAAACUUCUUCUAUGCUUUUGGGUUCUAUUUCAGAAAUAAGAGCCACAGCACUAGACUCUUCACGCCUUUUGGAUCUUAUGCGAAUUCCUUCAUUAAUGUCGCCAAUAAUGAGAUCUUUGAGAUGACUGAACUUAUGCUUCCAGUUACUGGUUGAUUUGUCAGGUUGAUGAUCACUUUCUUCAUUUGAAUCUUCAAUAAUCACUUGUUGCUGAUCUUUUAAAGUCUGAGCUACUUCUCGAGAUUUAGAUUUUGUAGAGUCUGGAGCAAGCUCAGAUUCUUCAAGAUGAGUCUGAAUAGAUUCAUUUUGCAUAGAAUCUUGGAAUUUGACAUUCAUUGAUUCCUCCACAGAUUUAGUCUUUUUGUUGUAGACUCUAUAGGCUUUGCUUGAAGUUGAAUAUCCAAGGAAGAUGCCUUCAUCUGACUUUUCUUCAAACUUGCCAACUCGAUCAUUUGCAUUUUUCAAUAUAAAGCAUUUGCAUCCAAACACAUGAAAAUAUGAAACAAUAGGCUUCUUUUCUUUGAAUAACUCAUAGGGGGUUUUUUACAGAAUAGGCCUUAGAAAAACUCUAUUAAUGAUAUAACUUUUCCACCAUUUACUUGAACGAGCUUUAUGAAACAAUUUGAAUCUCCUAUCAUAUGUCUUGAGCAUCCACUAUCCAGAUACCAUUUUACCUUUUUUCUUGAUAGUGACCUGCAAUUAAAAAGAGACUCAAACUUUCUUUGGUACCCAUAUUUUCUUGGGUCCAUUGGUAUUAGUAUGAUAUGCGGUUUUUGCCCAUACUUUCUUAACAGGUUUCCAAACCAUAGGACAUUCUUUUUCAAAAUGAUAUGCACUAUUGCAUUUUGAACAUCUGAGAGCAUUGCGACCUACUGGUUUUACAAAGAUCUUUUUAAAAUGAUUUUUGUAAGCAUCUCUUGUGGGUCUUUACUUAAUUCUUUCCUUCACUUUAGGGAAAUCAAUUAAAGGAAUUGUUUCCGUAGUCAUUCCCAAACCAGAUUUAUUGAAAUAAGGUCUUUGAACAGAAAGAAUUUUUUCCAGUUUCUCAGAUCCUAUAGAAAAUCUUUUAGAAAUAUUUGAAAUAUCAUUUUUCAAGAAUGCAUUUUCUUUUGAAAGAUUGCCUUCAUUUUCUUUUAAGGUAGAAAUAUUUUUGUCUAAAACUUUGACCUUUUCUUUUAAAACAUUUUCUUGUUGUUUUAGUGCAGAAUUUUCUCUUUUGAGUUCGGAAAUCCUUUUAAGAGAAGUCUUAAGACUAAAAUACAACUCAUCAAUGUAUUUAGAAACUUUAAUAGGGAUUUUAUAGUUACUCACCUCAAAUUCACUGUCUAAAUCUGAUUCAGUAUCGGAGUUUGAAUCUGAAUCCAAUUGUGCCAUCAGACAUAUAUCGGCAUAAUCAUCAUCACUUUCUUCACACUCUGUAUCACUCUAGGUUUCUGCUUUAAGAGCCUUUCGAUACUUUUCAGCUUUUCCUUUUUUCUUCCUCAGAAGAGGACAGUUGGGUCUGAUGUGUCCCUUUUUCUUACAUUCAAAGCAGACUACAUCUUUGUUCGAUUCAUCAUCCUCAACAGACUUAGUCUGUUGCUUUUGAAAACUCUGUUUCUUUGGAUUGAAUCUUCUUCCUUUUCUGUUCAGCUUUCUGAAUCUUCUUAUCAUGAGAGCAAGCUUCUCAUCAUCCAUAUCGUCUUCAGAAUCUAUAACAUCAUAAUCAUCAUUGGAUUUUAAUGCAAUGGAUUUCUUAUCUUUAGGAUCUUCGUCUUCAUUGAUUCGUUCCACUUCAUAAGACUGAAGAGUUCCAACCAACUCAUUAACAGAUAGUGGCAUGAUUCUUUGUGUCUCUCUUAUUGAGGUCUUUAUGUGAUUCUAAUCCUUGGAGAGUCCACGCAUAAGCUUAUUUACCUUCAUGGGAUCAGAAAUUGGUUAACCUUGAUUUUCAAGACCAUUCACGAUUUCUGUAAAACAACUAAACAUGUCAGUUAUAGAUUCUCCUGAUUUCAUUUUGAAGGCUUCGUAUUGACCAAGGAGAAUAUUGAUUCUGGUCUCUUUCACUCGAUCAGUUCCUUCAUAGGUAAUAUGUAAUCUAUCCCAGACUUCUUUUGCUGUAACACAAGAAGAUAUUCUGUUAUAUUCAGUAGGUGACAAAGUACAAUAUAAAGAAUAAAUUGAUUUUGCAUCAAGAGCUUGUCUCUUGAUUAUUUCUUCCUAAGUCAUUUCACUAAACUCAACAGCUUCUUUUCCUCUCUCUGAGACAGAUGCAGCUUUAGGAAUGAUUCCUUUUUCUACAACGUCCCAUUCCAGAGGAUCCUUUGAUCUUAAAAACGCCUUCAUCGUAUUUUUCCAUAUGUUGUAAUCCUUUCCAUCAAAGUAAGGCGGUCUGGUAUUGCUUUGCUCUUCUACCAGCCCUGGAGCUAACAUACUAGCCAUGGAUCUUUAACUCUGAAGUAAAACACUUCAAACAAAGUGAGUACACAAGCUCUAAUACCAAUUGAGAUAGCUAGUAUAAGUACCUAGAGGGGGUGAAUAGGUGUAAAAAUAAUUUCUCGAGAUAAGAGAGCAAUACUAAGCAGACAAUAGAAAGGAAGUUCUCCUUUGGUUAACAAAACGAAUUAUGAUCAAAGUAAAACAGAGAGUAGGGAAGAGAAAAUUGAACACAAGUUUUAUAGUGGUUCGGCUUAUUCUAAGCCUACGUCCACUCUUCCGCACUGACAGCCCACCGGCUGGAUUUCACUAUGAACAAAAGAGAUGUUACAGCAAAGCUCUCCCUUGAUUCCACAGUGUAGAUAUUCUACUACACUUCCUCAAGAUUUCUCACGAAUAUAGAUUCUCUUUUGCGUACAAGAUUUCGCUAAGCAAAUGAAUUGACUAAGAACAAGGAGCUUCAGACUUUGAAAUUCUUCUAUCGCGCACCCUCUCGAACAACUGGAACGUCUUUCUUAUAUACUCCUUUAUGCCAUCAUACCCGUUGGCACUUACCAAAGGAAUUCCUCUAAUCUACCCGUUGGACGGAAUCAAUUAGAAAGAUCAUUCGAGCUAUUAAAGGAACAUGUCGAUAGCCCAUCAAUCCUGCUCGCCCAUACAAUCAGGAUCUCGGUUUCCAUAAGUAGAACCUUCCAAGUAUACUUCGCCAAUCAUCGGAUCCUUAAUCAAUCUUGAUUCGAAUAAAGGAAUCCGUUAUGUCAUAUCCAGCCAAGAGAUCUUCUCUAGUCGAUAAGGUCAAAUCCUUAAUGAAACACCCAGUUCUGGAUAGUCCUUCUUCAACGAAUUAGAAACUAUCAAUGAGAAUAAAUUUUGAGUCUUGAGUCUAGCAGUCCGGAGGUCUUCAGACUUUAAAUAGCAGAGUCUGCAAAUCUUCAGACUAGACUGAUGGAAACAUGUUAUCAGCUUCAAAAUACUCUAGGAAGAUUUCUCUAGCGCAUCCGAAGUUAAUCAUGCAUCGCCUCCCCAACUCCCGUUGGGUGAUGGGUUCCAAUAGUGAUCACACACACAUCUAUACUUAGCUAAGAACAUCAUGUUUUGCACUUAAAUACCUCAAUUUCAAAUAAUGGACUUGGCCAAUUUUCUUCGUAUAAAAAAUUCCCGAUAAAAUAAUUGCGCGUGGUCACAUAUUUAAAUCGAACAAAUAAGCAUGGUACACUCCCAUUUCAAAAUUCCACAAUUUUAUAUAAUACAUAAAAUUUUGGUGUCAAAAACCGACGUCCGGUAUUUUUCCUAUUUAAAUACCAUAAAAUUGGAUUUUUGCAAUAAUAAUCAAUCACCAUCACCAAACACUAUAUUGCACAAUUAAGCAGUCAAUUUCACAUAUAAAUGCAACCAUGAAGAUCUACGUAAAAUUUCACUAAAUGGCUAUUCCGUCACAAUUUACGCUAAUUAAACUUAAUUAAUUAAAUUACCAUUAAUUAAAUAAAUUACAUAUUAUUUAAACUAAUCAACUCAAUUAAUCUAAAUAAGCUAACCGAACUAACCUAAUUGAGCUAACUAAACUAAUCUAACUAGGCUAACUACAUCAACCUAACUAAGCUAACCAACUAACCUAACUAACCACCCUAAUGGUGGACGUGCAGCAAGGAAAAUGGAGGAUGAACUUGAAAAAGGAAGUGAAGAAGAAGAAGAAAGGAAGAAGAAGCAGAAGUAGAAGCAGGGGUUCGGCUAGGGGGAUGCGCACGCACAAGGAGGGAGAGAAGAGAGGGAAUGAUGGAAAAUUGAAGUCAAAGCUUUGGCCAAUUGGAAGCCUAAUGAAAUAUCUAAACACUCAAGUGCUUUUGCCCCAAAAGUCUUCAGCUAUAGUUGUCAAAGGGUCCUUCAAUGGCUGAAUUUCUUUCAUUUCCUCGCCAAAAUAAGUCAUUUGGGCAACCAAAAAUCACACCAAACCAGUCCAUACGAAUUUCCACUUAAUUUCCAAUUUGUCUCAAAUUCAUUUUUCCGUAAAUUUCCGAGCUCAACGAAAAUUCUUCGAAAAAUGAGACGAUGUCCUAAAAAUAAAUCGUGACACGCUCGAACGUUCGAUUCCCGAAAACAAAUUCAAUUUUGUGGUUAAAAUCGACCAAAUGCAAUUUUAGUAUAACAUAACCUAUCGGGUAGCUUUUAGGGAUUUUAAUGCGUUUGACCCGUGAUCGAUAAUUUUCGAUCCACGUUUGUGCAUCUCCGACCCGUAGACAACUCUCGGUUAUUGUAAAAAUCACAAGAUUUCAAUUACGUGUACCGAGUAUAAAAUCAAUAGAAAAUCAGGCUAGUGUCAUUUGACGUGUAUUUCACAAUCCCAUGCAAUCACCCGCAAUUCAAUUACGUGAUUCUAUCAAAUCAAUCUAUAUCCGAUCAUAAUUCAAUUAUAACUAUGUCGUAUUGACCCUUGCUGAUUAUUAUGGUCGAGCAGUCGAUUUCCAAUUGAAUUCUCAAGUCUGCCACGUUUAUAUCCCUUAACGGCUUAACUUGAUAGGUUAGUUAACUCAUGAGUGGCCAACUCAGAGAGAAAAAGACCAUAGGCGCGUCGACGAAAUGCCCAUUUCAUAUUAUCGGGACGAGAUCAAAUUUCAGAAUGUCACAACUCUUCCUUUGUUAUAACAAUUUCAUCCUUGAAAUUUAAACCAUUACAAUUCUUCUUCAAAAAAGUGGGGAUAUUGACGUCUCAUCAAUUUUUCGCUUUCUCACAUAGCUCAUUCUGUUCUGUGAUAUUGCUAGACCACUUUAACCAAAGAGAUCAUCUUUUUGCGCAGCAUUUGCUUUUUCCGAUCCACUAUCCAAAACGGUCUCUCCACAUACAACACUCUCUCGUCCACGUCUAAUUCCUUAAAAUUCAGCACGUGGGUUGGAUCAUGUUCAUACCUCCUCAACAUUGACACGUGAAAGACAUCAUGCACUUGAGCAAAUCUUGACGACAAUGCGAGACGAUACGCCAAAGUCCCAAUUCGCUCUAGAAUUUCAAAUGGACCGAUGUACCUCGGACUUAACUUCCCUUUCUUGCCGAAGCACGAAGUACCCCUCAUUGACGACACUUUAAGGAAAACAUAUUCACCAACUUGGAAUUCCAAUGGUAUUCGCCGCUUAUCAUCUUCUUCAACGGCCUCACUAGGCUCGAAAAUACUUCCAGUGACAUGACGCCAAAGCUUACAUCCCUUUAGAAAACUUGAUAUUUCUUGAGCCCAUAAUAUGUAGUUUGAUCCACUCAGGAUGGUCUGAAUGGGCAUUGAGACUUCUAAUUUCUCCAUGAUAUGUAAUAUACUAGUAAACUCAACAAAUUCUAUAAAAAAUUUGCAGAAAACUGAUAUCACUAAAGCUAAUAUGGAGAAAAUAAGGUAGAAAAUAGAUUGAGGAUGUCGAAAUACCACAAGAACUAGUCUGGAAAUGCCAAGAACCGAUUGGAAUCAGGCCGAAUUUGUUAGAAAAGCUUGAGAACAGGUCGAAGGCCAAACCAGUUUGAAAACCCUAAGAACCGGUUGGAAUUGGACUGAACCGAUCAUAAAACCCUGAGAACUAAUUGAAAUCUAGUUGAACCAGUCAAAAAUCCUUGGAACCGAUCGGAAUAUGGCCGAACUAGUCGGAAAACCAAGCAAACCAAUCGGAAUAUGGUCGAACCGGUCGAAAAACCAAGCAAACCGGUUGGAAUCUGGUCGAAUCGGUCAUAAAACUAAGCGAAUCAGUCGAAAUCAAGCCGAAUCGGUUAGGUCAACGUCAGUCAGCAAUGCUCGACGGUGGUCAGCGACAGAGGAUGACGUGGUGCUGACGCAUGAUGAAGUGGAUAAUGACGUCACUACUCGACUGACAUGAUGGAUCAUGUGCAAGGCUAGGGCUUGUGGAUCUCCUGCACAGAAGAUAUGGGCGGCGCGUGAGGGCGUGUGGGAGACCUUCUGAUGACGUUUGUUACUGUUUUGGACUCGUCGGAGAAUGUAGAACCUGUUUAUGGUGGUUUUAGCUGAAAUAUUUAAGGAUUGGCUUCGAAAGUUUCACUUAUAGUUUAUGGCGUUGAUGGUCCCGUAGAGCAGCCAAGCGUGGUGGCACAUGCGGCUUUUCUCCAAAUCAAUUGGUGAUGAAUUUUUAAGGUCUAACUCAUUCGAGACGGACGAAUCUAAUGGUUGUGUUAUAAUUUCGAAAUAAGCAACGAAACUAUCUGGGUAGCGAUCACAAGCAACAAUUUGGUGAGGGAUACCGGCACAGCUGCAAUAAUAUUGCCAUUAUUCGGUAAACUGACUCUAAUAUCAUGUUAGAAUUAUGACAAAAUAAAGCGAAAAAAAGAAUUUAUGUAUAUUUUGGUAUGUUUAAUACUGAUGAUACAAGAUCCUAUUUAUAUGCUGCUCUAGACAACUAUUUAAAGUAAUAAAAUAUUACAAUAUUAAAAAGAAUCAAUUAUAAUCAAUUAUGAAAGAUAAAUAUCUCUAACAAUUAUGAUGCGGUUUAAUUUUAAAGAGAAAGCCCAAAAGGUGGCAAAAGAAAAAGGAUAAAAAAGUAAAAGAAAAAAGUUGUACCCAUGACCCUCUAAAAACUACAUUUUCUGGAAUUAUUUGAUUGUUCUUACAGUGUAAUAACGAACUUUGUCCUUCUCUAAUUUCUUUUUCUACGUUUUGAAUGAACUUUAGAUUUCAAUUAUUGAAAGAAUAGCAAAAUAUUUAUUUGAAUUAUGGAAAAGAAUCGGUAUACGUAAAAACGAAAGUAAUCUUGAAUAUUUAGUUUCCCCGUCCUACUAGAGGGGCUGAUAUUCUUUUAAUUAAUUCAUUAUGAAAAUGUACAGGGAAAAAAAGUAGCUUAGCAGUACAAGGGAAACAUGCACGAGUUUAAAAUUAUUCCUCCAAGAAAGAAUUAAUUAAAAGUGUUCAUUUCUAAUUCCCUCAAAAAGAUGACUUAAGUUUGACGUGGAAGAAAACCUAGACAAACAGUUAAGUACAUGGACGUAAGGCAAAGAUACUGACACAUUUAAAUUGGCUUUAGCCACGGCAAGUAUAGAGGAAAAUCCUACCUAAAAUUCUAUAAGUAUUUUCCUGCGGACACUAUUUUGCCAAACUUUUUUCCAUCUAAACAAUACCAUAAAUUUGUAUCAAUGCUAAAAAAAUACUCUAGAAUCACUAUUUGAGCCAUAAUAUCCAUUUAAAAUCCUCCGUGACGCUGACAACACAUGCCUAUCAAAAGGAACCUUGAGGUACUUUUUAGAUCAUUAGUACAAAUUUUGGGUUUUGAUAAGAUAAAAUAAAUUUUGAGAUAGCUAUAUCCCACGGAAUAAAGUUCAAGUUUUUUUGUUCAAUUUAACCCAAAAUAAUGAUAACGAAAAUAUCCUUGUGGAACCCACUAUAUUUACCCUCACCCCGCACCCGCCCCGCCCCCGGGGGCCUUUUCUCUCCCCCCUCAAAAGACAUUCAAGGAGUUUUGACAACCUCAAAAGCUAUCUUACUUUGCUUCUUUUUUUUUGAAAAUAUUAUCUCCAAAAUUUUUAGUCACAAAAUCAGAAUAAGUAAUAAAAAAAAGUCCUAAACAUAUUGUAUUUAUACAAAUUCAAUUAUAAACCUUAUAUUAAUUUAAUCAUAAAUCUUUUGAUAAUUUACUAAUAUAAUCCAUCACCAAUUUUGGCGGUAAUUACUAAUAUGGGCACUAGUCAUCUUACAUGAUAUGACCAAUAUAAUUUUAUAAUUUUUUUAAUAUUCUUCUGAAAUUUUUCUUAUUUUAUUAUUAUUUUCUUUUCUUUCUUUGUUCUUUUUACAACUCUAGGCCACGCAAUGGUUAUGGCUCUCUCCUAAAUCUAGGCAAGGAUCUUACACCCUUCCUUAUGGCCAACGAGGGCACGGAGGCCCUCACCUUUGGGGCGGAUGCCCUCACUUAGACCUUGUCAGCCCACAAUUGCCAAAAAAAAAAAGUAAUAAAAAUUCAACAAAUUGUAAAUUGUCCACGUUAUUUGUAGUCAUGCUACAUGAGAUGGCCAACAAUGAUGUUGGCAAAUCAUCAAAAGUUUUAGGACUCAAUUGACACAAUAGUUUAACAAAAAAAUUAUCACAUUUAAAAAAUUUAAGACUGAAUUAAUAUAAAUGUAAUAGGUUUAGAACUUUUUUUAAUACUUGGCCCAACAAAAUCAGUUGUUAUAAAAGGACAAACUCACGUAAUUGUGGUUCUGAAAGCUACGGAAUUAGUCUUUUAGGAGAGAAAUGUUGAAUGAUAAAAAAACUCAGGAUGAUUCAGGCCUCAUCCUUCAAUUAAAUAAACUAAUCGGAGAUCCCGUGCUUCUCCAUCCCUGUCACCAUCUCUUUUAAACAACAUGGUCAUAACGGAGGGGCGCAACAAGACUAGGACCAAAUUAGGAAUCAAAUUGGGAUGCGCAUGCUUUGCUCAAGUUGUGUGGUUUUAUAUAUUUGCACAUGAGUCAUGUGUUUUGCUGCACAAGUUCUAAAAAUCACAAGAAUUAUUAAUUGUAUGGUUGGCGGCCGUGGGUUGACCUAAUUAUAAUAAGUGUAAUUAUUUACAUUCACUCUUUGGUGUUUACUCCAUAUAGUGAUAAACAAACCCAAGUGAUGGUCACGGAUGAAACAUAACUCGUAUAAUAUCACAUAUCUUACGUGCAAUGAGAGAGAUUGUUAACUACUCCUUAAAUUUGCUGAUCUCAUGUGGAUACGGGUACUUGCUACUUUGAAAGCUUAAGAAAUUAGCUCACUUACAUUAUUGCAUAACUCGUAUAUAAUGGAUGAUUACUUUUUCUUUUUUGUAAAUUUUCUUUUGAAACAGAAUACUUUUUUAUAAUACUUAGGGAAAAUUUCAAAAAGGACCCAAAAUGGAGUGACCACUUAAUCUCAAAUAUGGCCUGAAUGAGCACAUGCAUCUCAAGUGCCCCUUUCCAAGGGCACCAUGGCAGCAUUUUCGGAUUUUUAUGUUUUACUUUUUCUUUUUUACUUUUUCUUUCUUUCUUUUUCUUUCCCAGUCACCUUCUUCUUCGUGACGUCUUUCUUUUCCUUUUUCUUCUCUUAUCUCUCAGUUUUUUUUUUUCAACUGUUGUGCCAGCGAGCUACUGGGCAAGACCAUUGCGGCUCCUCGCCCUCGGCCAGCGGGCCCGGCCUUGCCCAGAUAUGGCUGGCCACCGACAAUAACCAUCAGAUAUCGAGAAUCCUCUGGUGCCGACCGCGUUGCACUGCCACAGGAACACGGAUGCCAAAGCGACAAUCCACAUCACAGAGAGAAGCGUUUUGUGCGAGGAGACGAACCCAACAUUUGGAAUUGAGCGUGUUGCGGUUGAAUCUGGCUAGGCCUACGGUUUCCACCAUAGCUAGACAAGCAGGAGUUGAUUUUGCGCCCAAAACUCGAUUCAACUUCACAAGGCGAGAUUGAUUCAAAAAGAGAGAGCAUCUGCGAAUUGGGAGGAGUAAUUAAGUGAGCUUUAACAUGGGAGAUCGGUUGCGGACAUGACAAUGGACGAAGGUGAGGCACUGCGAUGGUCUGAGUGAGGCCACCUUACCCUAAUCUGAGCCAGCCUCGCCCUCGGCCACAAUGACCUCAAUUGGAUCUAGGUGAGGACCUCGCCAGCCACAGUAAAAAGAAAAAAACAAAAGGAAGAAAAGGAGAAAACAAUGAACAAAGAACAAGAUGAAAGGAAAAAAAAAACAAAAAGACAAGAAAUGGAAAUACCAAGAAUACCCCAUCAUGCCUUUUAUAAGUGACACAGGAUAUGCACAUAUUCAAUUAGACCCUUAUUUGAAAUUAAAGGACAACUUCAAAUCCUUAUUUAAAAUAAAAUUCACUUAAGACUCCCUUUCGAGAAAAUGGAUCUAAUUCAUGCAUUUUCUUUUUGGUUGAAAAUUUCUCUAAUAAUUGAGGAUAUGAUGGAUAUGUUUUUUUUCUCAUUCCCUGUUUAAAGUUAAUAAGACUUGAAGAUCAUAAAUGACCAUUUAUUUCCCCCAUUUGCUUUUGUAGCAACGCGGCCACAGCCACAACUAGAUUUGUGGCUGGAACUACGCGACCACAACGGUACCAGACAACCAGGACAAUCAAAUUUUGAUGUCAUAUCUCCAUCGACAUGGGGUAGAUGAUGCGGGAGCAUCAAAUUUUCAUUGAAGACAAUCAAUUCACAAACCCAACUCAAGUCUCGUCAAUUAACCAAGCCUAAAUUUGAUUUUACGCAAGCAAAGGCAGAUUUCGGCCAUAAUAAAUUGUAAAGGCUUAUUUGGCGGGGCCAAGUUGGAGAGAUGUUUCCCAACUCGAAUGAAUUUCUCAGUUUAAAGUUGAUUUCCUACUUUAAGUAAUUGUCUUAAUUUGAGGUAGUUUUUAAGACUCAAUUAUAUUUUCAUAACAACUUUUAAAAUUUGAUUGCACUUUUUAAAAGUUUAAGAUUUAUUUGCAUUUUCAUUAUCAAUGUUAGGAUUUUUAAUACACCUAUCCCGUGUUUAAAAGGUUGUUGCUAAAGUCAGUUUAGAUGUGACAAUAGCAUCACCGGAAGUCCAACUUGACCAGUUGAAAGAGUCCAAGUUCUAUCUCCAUGGCAAAUUAAUUAUGUUUCUCUAUCUCAAAAGAUCGUAUCUCUCUAGAAAUCAUUGUCUAAUAUUACUCCGACAAUUAUCACGAAUGUUGCGUUAUUUUCUAAUGUGGCAGCACAUAAUUUUCCGCACGUACAUAGACUAUUCUUGGCAUCCAUUAUAGAUCAUCCUUUUUUUUUUCUGAAGUUAUCUUUCAACAACAGUCAAUAAACAUACUUCAAAAUCUUCGCACAAGUCUUCACAUUUCCAGUGAUUGAAAGUGAAAUGCAUACUUGUCAGUUGCCACUAGGGACCGUUACUCUCGUUGGAGACUUCCGACCAUGAACAGGCUAACAGUUGCCACUAGGGACCGUUACUCUCGUUGGAGACUUCCGACCAUGAACAGGCUCGUUAACCGAAACCCACUUAUAAAUGUCUCUAUUCCUACUCUACACUCACUCUCAGACUUUUGCCAUGUCUCUUGCAGGAUGUGGGAGUUGAAACCCACUCUUAAAACUUACGUGUCCCCACCCCAUCCCCCUGAGAAUGUGGGGAUUUGAACCCCUCACCUCCCCCUUCCAUGUUGGAAGGGUGGCCACUGGGGCGAAUCCCAGUGAUUUAAUGAGCCGCCCCUCUAGCUGAAACCUACUCUCCACUCUUGUUGGCAACUCAUCUUAUAAUCAAGAAUCAGAGGAAACAUAUCAUCUGUCUCCGCGACUCAUCCUCUUGAUUGUCAUAAUGGAGACACAGGUGGACAUACGAGGGAGAUCGCUCCUCGUGCCUUGUGUUCACGACAUACUGAAGGCCAACCCAACCACGGUCCCGAAGAGAUUCAUUUGCGACGAUCAAGAGCCUCCUGUGAUCAUGGACGAUUGUUUCGGCUUGCCUCAAGUUCUUGUGAUCGACUUAGGGAGGUUGGUUUCGGAGGACAGUGCCAAGCCGGAGCUCGAGAAGCUGCACCAGGCCUGCAAGGACUGGGGUUUCUUUCAGGUACGAAACAACUUCUGCAUUUCAAAUACAAAGCAUUCAACGAAGUGUCAGAGAAAAAUGGAAAUUCACUGAUUGAAAGAGACUGAAAUACAUGACUCCAUUUAGGCUCUCAACGUCUAAUUUCCAGAAAAUAAAUAAUUAAUCAAAUAAUUACGGAAAAUAAUUAAUAAAUGCCAAGUCCCUUCAAUUUGGUCAAACCGAAAUUCCAUUCGUUUUCCGAAUCGUUUAAAUCGAUUUUCCGUAAAAAUCUUGAACUCGCCAAAAUUUCCUCGAAAAGUGAGUUGACGUUCCUAAAAUGACUCAUGACAUAACAGAACUUUCAAUUUUUGAAAUCGAAUUCAAAUUCGUGGUUAAUUUCAAUCAGAUGCAAUUUUAGUGUGACCUAACAUACCGAGUAGCUUUUAGAAAUUUUUGGUGCAAUUAACUAGUAGUCAAUUUUUUUCGAGCCACGUGUACCUCUUCAACACAUUGGCGACUCUCAGUGGUCGUGAAAAUCUCAAGGUUUCAAAUACAAACAUAGGAUACCCAAAACUACAAAAAAUCGGUCUAGUGCCGAUCGACAAUAAAUUUGCAACAAGGUGGAAUCACCCACACUUUAAUCACACAUCUUAGUUGAAUCAACAUAUCUCUGAUCUCUAAUCGAUUUUUUUUAUUGUGCCGUAAUUGACCCUUGCAAACUAGCACGGUCGAGUAGUCAAUUCAUAGUCGAAUUCUCAAGUCUUUGCAUUAAAAUCCCUUAACGGCUUCACUUAAUAAACUAGUUAUCUCAUGAAUGGCCAUAUUAGAGAAAAACACUAGAGGCGAGUCGAUGAAAAGCCCAACUUAUCCAAUCGAAAUCGGAACUACAUUUUUAGGAUGUCACAAUUAUUUCCCUCUUAAAAAAAAUUUCGCCCUCAAAGGUGGGGUAUCGUCGUCUCUUUAGUUUUCACUUUUCCACGUUGCUUCUUCAGUCCCGUGGUGUUGUCAAGCCACUUUGACCAAGGGGCCAUCUUGGUACACAGAAUCCGCUUUUCUGAUUCACAAUCUGAACCGGGCCUUCCAUGUGCGACACUCUAUCGUCCACGUCUAAUUCUUCAAGAUUCGGCACAUGGGUCGAUUCAGGUUCAUAUGUCCCCAACCUCGACACAUAAAAGACGUCAUGCAUUCACGCCUACUUCGACAGCAAUGCAAGACGGUACGUUAGGAUCCUGAUCCUCUCUCUAGAAUCUCAAAGAGACCUACGUACCUCGGUUUCGGUUUUCCCUCCUUGCCGAAGCGCAAGGUAUCCCUCAUUGGUAACACCUUCAGAAAGAUGUAAUCACCAAUUUGAAACUCUAAGGCCUUCAAUGCUCAACGAUACAUGCUUUUUGGCGACUCUGAGCGGUCUUUAUCUGUCUCUGAUCAUGACAACUGCAAUUACUAGCUUCUGAACUAACUCUAGCUUGUGAUCUUUCUUUCCCUGACUUCAUCCCAACACACUGGCGCUCUGCACACUCUACAAUGCAAUGCUUUGGUCCCGUGGUGUUGUCAGGCCACUUUGACCAAGGGGCCCAUCUUGGUACACAAAAUCUGCUUUACUGAUUCACAAUCUGAAUCGGGCUUUCCAUGUACGACACUCUGUCGUCUACGUCUAAUUCUUCAAGAUUCGGCACGUGGGUUGAUUCAGGCUCAUAUGUCUCCAACCUCGACACAUGAAAGACGUCAUGCAUUCACGCCUACUUCGACAGCAAUGCAAGACGAUACGUUAGGAUCCUAAUCCUCUCUCUAGAAUCUCAUAGGGACCUACGUACCUCGGUUUCGGUUUUCCCUCCUUGCCGAAGCGCAAGGUAUCCCUCAUUGGUGACACCUUCAGAAAGAUGUAAUCACCAAUUUGGAACUCUAAGGCCUUCAAUGCUCAACAAUACAUCUUUUUUGGCGACUCUGAGCGGUCUUUAUCUGUCUCUAAUCACGACAAUUACAAUUACUGGCUGCUGAACUAAAUCUAGCCUGUGAUCUUUUUUUCCCUGACUUCAUCCCAACACACUGGCGCUUUGCACACUCUACAAUGCAUUGCUUCAGAAGGAAUCAUCUGACUGUUCUGCUAAAACUAGGAACCUCGGGUCUAGAUCUAAUAUAAAUUCGUCACUGGCACUAUAUGUAGACGAACUAUUUGACGCACAUACAACUCUGCAUGUAUGUCUAAGUCCAGAUCCUUUCGUACUACCAAGAAGUGAGCCGACUUCGUUAGUUUGUCGACCACAACCUCAAAUGGAAUCAUUACUCAUCUGACUCCUUGGUAAGCCUGUCACAACGUUUCAUCAUGAUAUACUUCAAUUCUCACUCGGGACUCUCGAGUGAUUGUAAAAACCCUCCCGGCUUGCAUUAUUGAACUUCUACUUACUUCCAUUUUCACGAUGCAAGUGCAUGCGGUGUUUUGCUCUAGUUUAUGUGACAACUACAUGUUCCCAAUUUUCUAGUGAGAUAAUUUGACCCCUAUAGUUUAAUUCGACAGUCAUUAACGAAAUAGGUGACUAUCCCAUCCAUGUAUUGGCCCCCAAACCUACAAGUGCCUACCAAUCUAAUCAUGCUUGGAUGAUUCCAAUAUUGCUUAUAUGGAUCUUUUGUCCAAAAGGAAACCCUUUAAUCAAAAAAAUAAUGAGAAGCAAUUAAUACAAUAAUUAAUUAAGCGUGCACAAGACACGGCUGUUUUGUAGUUAGACAUUAUCUCUAAUUAAUUGUCAGACUGAUUUUACGCAUCAUACUACCGCCCGCCCUGGAAUCUCCAUGCGGUUUUGUCGUUUUUUAUUUUCUCAAAAAAAGGUGAUACAUAGAUAACGGAUUGACUGUUCAAGGGUGAGAGGCCUCAACUGCCGGUCAAAUGUUCUUUAAAAUAUUCAGUUAAAGAGGGAUACUCUGAGCACCUCAUCUGUUCAAAGAUACUUUAUUGUAAUGCAAUAUAAUUUUAUAUGAUAUGAUAUGAAGUUUACAUAUUUCUCCAAUAAUUCGAUAGGAGAAAGAACAGUUUCUGAUGGGUCAUUAUACUCGCUGGAUCCUUUCUAGUACGAACGGACUCGUUAACAAAAAAGACUGAGACAUCCCUGUAGCUGAAACACAACUGUGUCACCUACUCUCUCUCUUGUUAGCGUACUUAGCUUUCAUUCAGAACAACCUAUGAUCAGUUUCUGAGAUUUCUCAACCUCUGGGUUGUUGUCAAUGGAGACGCAGUUGAACAUACCAGGGAGGUUGCUCCACAUGCCAUGUGUUCAGGACGUACUGAAGGAGAACCCGACCACGGUCCCGGAGAGAUAUGUCCGCAGCGAUCUAGAGCCUCCCAUGAUCAUGGACGCUUGUUCUGGCUUGCAGGUCCCCGUGAUUGACUUGGGGAGGUUGGUUUCGGAGGACUGCUCGAAGCUAGAGCUCAAGAAGCUGCACCAUGCGUGCAAAGACUGGGGCUUCUUUCAGGUACGAAACAACUUCUGCAUUUGGAACAUGAAGGCUUUGAGAAAGUAUCAGAGAAAAAUGGGUUCAUUGAUUGAAAGAGAUUAAAAUCCACUUAAUUCUCAACUUCUGCGAGGGCCACUAAGCAGACUUAGAUGUACAAUUCUUAGCCACAAUUAUGUGUAGCCUAUGAGAUUUCAUCGGAAAUUUCCUUGUUUUGCUUCCUGGACUCGCUUUUUGCCUCCUAACCAAAUCUAAGUUUUCGCUUUUAUUUUACACUUAGAUGUACUAUUCUGUGCCAUCUUGCCCUGUUUCACCAGAACACUAAAUUGGUCGUUCAAGAUUUCCAACGGAAAAAGAAAGGUGGGAACUUAGAUGAAUUUGGAGAUUUGAGUUCCUCGAUUGUCUCUUUUCUAGAGAAUGCUAAUAAGACAAAUUUAUCUAUUGAAACUUUCUUGAUAUAUGUUGAAAUAAAGGUCUCUUGAUUACUCAGCAAUCAGGAGAUCAGAGCUUUAUCUGUCUUGAUCUCAAAGGAAUGCCUGUUUCUGGGAGAAUCAAGAGUGAUAGCGGUGUGUUAAUAAUUUUCAGCUGAUAAAUCAUGAAGUGAGCCCUAAGUUGAUAGAGGAAGUGAAGAAGGGGACCGAAGAGCUGUUCAACAUGCCAAUGGAAGAGAAGAAGAAGUUUUGGCAGAGAGACGGCGAAUCGGGCGGCUUCGGACAGGCCUUUGUGUUCUCGGAAGACCAAAAGCUUGAUUGGGCUGACAUCUUCCGCAUGUUCACUCUCCCUGCUUCUAUGAGGAAGCCUCACUUAUUUCCCAAACUCCCCCUUCCCUUCAGGUUCUUUCUCUCGGGCCGAAACAUGCAUAGACACCAUAAAACUUUCAUGUGACACUUGUAACAUGUAAGCGAACAUGCAUAAAAUACAAAAUCGCUUGAUUAGAAAAGUGAAACCACAUUAGUAUGACACAUGAUAUAAUGCUACGUGAAUAACUUUUUUGUUGUUGAGGGUUUAGUUUGUGGCGUGUUCCAAAAUAUCCCUUUUAUCGCCUAAAGAAUGAAAUUGUCUACAUGGUAGAGACGAUCUGGACGCCUACUCGAAGGAAACAAAAGCCCUAGCAAUAAAGCUCCUCUACCUCAUGGCGAAGGCCUUAGGAAUGGAAGCAAAGGACCUGGAGGGGGUGUUCGAAGAUGGGAUGCAAUCGAUGAGGAUGAAUUAUUACCCGCCGUGUCCGCAACCCGAGCUCGUGAUGGGCCUAAACUCUCACUCUGAUGGCGACGCGGUUACCAUCCUCCUCCAGGUCAACGAAAUGGAGGGCCUCCAGAUAAGGAAAGAUGGGAAGUGGGUUCCUGUGAAACCUCUCCCCGGUGCUUUCAUCAUCAAUGUUGGAGACGUUGUUGAGGUAAUAGUAUUGCAACAUCAACUUCCACAUUUGACCAUACUGAUAACUUAUUGUCUCACACUCAAAGCCUUCCCUUCAUUGGCCGACAGCAGAUUAUAACAAAUGGGAUUUACCAGAGCAUCGAGCAUCGAGCAACAGUGAAUGCAGUGAAGGAGAGGAUCUCCAUUGCAACGUUCUUCAGUCCGAGAAUGGAUGCUGAGAUCGGUCCUGCGUCGAGCCUCAUCACCUCAGAGACCCCGCCAAUGUUCAGGAGGAUAACAGCGGCAGAACAUCUGAAGGGCUAUCUAUCAAGGGAGCUCAACGGAAAAGCUUAUCUCGACGCCAUGAGGGUUCAGAACAACGAAACCUAGAAGAGACGAGUUCUAUCUAUUGAGUAUGAAUGUGAAAAUGGUGAUACGUAUAAUGGUGAUGCAACCUGAUUAUAUGAUAUCGGUUUGAUAUUUAGGGAGGUCCUUUUUGAGAAAGACAAUAAUGACUUGAAAAAACUUAUUUUGAAUCUCAUCUAUUGCUUGUCUGAACUAUCAAACAGUCUUCUAAAAUCCAAGGCAUUAAUUUUUUGCUC
RNAcentral lists this long non-coding RNA (28602 nucleotides) under Eucalyptus grandis. Its description in RNAcentral is "long non-coding RNA (EGRA_LNC003070)". Lineage: Eukaryota; Viridiplantae; Streptophyta; Magnoliopsida; Myrtales; Myrtaceae. The record is from RNAcentral.